This is an RNA transcript of Teleopsis dalmanni, 1516 nucleotides long. RefSeq lists it as uncharacterized. The record is from RefSeq and is a predicted model, not a curated record. Lineage: Eukaryota; Metazoa; Arthropoda; Insecta; Diptera; Diopsidae. The transcript is spliced from 5 exons.
AAUCAAAAUAAUUUUAGGCUUUACGCAACUGCAAAAUUUUAGAAAUGUUUUCAACUUAAGAUUUAUUUUUGAAAGGUCUCAAAACUUCUAAAAGUCAUUACGCCAGACUCUUUUAGGAAGUACAACAUCAAAAUGGCUACCCAAAACAAUAAAGUGGAGUGGAUGGAGCAAAAACAGGAAUGUGCACCACCGGUUGAGUUUUUUGAAAUAAAAGGAAAUGAUAUUUUUAAAGUCACUCAAAGAGAUGUAUUAGUCACAAAUAAAAUUCGCGUAUUGGAGUAUGAACGUGUUGGGCAAAAUGUAGUCGAAAGUGCAACACUAUCACAAAUGAACACAAGAUUCAAUCUCUUCAACACUGCAGUGCCACAAGUUUCGUUGUCUCCACAAAGUACCAAUUCUCCCUUUUUUGCAGAGCACGCAGCUUUUCAAAAUCUUCCAUCUGAAUCCAUGGAUACAACGAUUUCUGCUGCUUCUGAAAUGUCCUCUUUCGCAACUAAUGCGAGUACCCAAACUUAAAGGCAACGAACACCAAAUUGACGUUAAUCGUAGGCUACCUGAAUGACACGAAAGCUGAACUGAGUACAAUUUUGUCUCGAAUAACUCAACUAUAACUGAUGAAGUUUUACCUUUUACUCUACAUGUAUAUAGGAUUCAUGGUAACAACAUGUCACGUCCUCAAGAAAGAUCAAAUUUUACAAAAUUUACAAAGUUCGCAGAUUCUAUAUUGGAAGAAAAAAUCUACAGAAAUAUCAAUAUCAUGCAGUACAUACCAAAUAUACAUGAAGAAUUUAUCUUGACUUGAAGUUCUAAUAGGGAGUUCACAUCGGAAAUGAUUUCAUAAUUAAUGAUGAAAAUUUAAUAUGUUCUUUUCCAGAAAUGCUAAAGUCCAUAGAGAUUUCGAUUAUGUGCAUAUAUGGCACAAGUGUUUUAGAAACCAAUUAAUGUUGAAUUGCUUAUGUCGCCAUAAUGUGGUUCUUAAAAUGGAGCGAAAUGCUAUCAAAAAAUAGAUGAAACGGCUGUGCAUUUGCGAAAAAAAUCUUAUUAUUGUUGUUGCCUCGCCAGAUGCUAUCUUCUUUGCAAAUAAAAGAACUAAAGUAGAAGUAAGAAACAAAGAACAAAAAACAAACAACAAAAAAGGAAAAGAAACAAAACUGGAAAUACGUAUAGAAAUAAAUAAUAAAAAAGGAGUGUAAAUAAAUUUCUUUUGUUCAGAUUGAUGAAAUUGAUGAAAUUGCUGGAAAUUAAGAAAGUGAUUGAAAUAAAAUGAAAUGGGCUGCGAUAAAAAUGAAACCGAAGCCGAAGCGAAAGCGAAAGCGAAGGCGAAAACGCCGUUGCUGAAAUCUACAAAUAUAAAAAAUUAAUAAAAAAAUUAAAUCAAAUUAAAUCAAAUCAAAUGAAUAUAUCUGCACGUAAUUUGUUUGUGGAUGGGAAUGAAAUGUUCAUUUAUAUUCAUUUAUUUCGCUUAUUAUUUAUUGUUAUUGUUAUUGCAAUUACGACAUCAAUAAAGGCCGUUUUG